UGAUUAAGGUCAGUACUUGCUCGUCCCACACAGUAUCCGCGUAGUGUCCAAUAUCUAGGAAUUGUUGUCUCCCACCGACACCAGCCCCCUUCGCUUUUGUUAAUGGAGGAUCCUCUCGAUGCAAUACCCAUUUGCAUUUGUCCAUUACUUGUUCAAACUACGCUCUUCCGUCCCCACAGUCUCGAUCUCCAGUUUUCCACUUCUGAAGCCUCCCCAAUAAUACGGAUCAUGAAAUAAUUAUAACCAUCAAAUACCUCUUUGAUCCCUCUUUGUUUUUGUUUUAUUAUCAUUUGACAAUGGGUUGGCGAGGUGGUUCUGUCUUGUUUCUUCUUAUUGUUGUUGUUUUAGGCAGUGGCAAAGUGGCACAUGCUAUGGAUCUCAGCAGCAAUUCCCAUGAAAACUACACUCAGUUCCUUCUUGCCAAUGGUGUUGCUCACACGCCGCCCAUGGGAUGGAACAGCUGGAACCAUUUUCAAUGUGAUAUAGACGAGCGGACUGUGAAAAGCACGGCAGACGCUCUUGUUUCUACUGGUUUGGCGGCACUUGGGUACAAAUAUGUAAAUAUUGAUGAUUGCUGGGGAGAAAAAGAUAGAGACUGGAGGGGUAAUUUAAGGGUAAAACCUUCUACUUUUCCUUCUGGAAUCAAGGCCCUUGCAGAUUAUGUUCACGCAAAAGGAUUAAAGCUUGGCAUAUAUUCUGAUGCUGGCUACCAAACUUGCAGCAAGACAAUGCCUGGAUCUCUUGGGCAUGAAGAUCAAGAUGCAAGAACUUUUGCAGAAUGGGGAAUCGAUUACUUGAAGUAUGAUAAUUGCUAUCAUGAUGGUUCUAAGCCAUUAUACAGAUUUGCUAGGAUGAGUAAUGCAUUACAGAAGGUUGGCAGGCCAAUCCUUUAUGCUAUAUGUGAAUGGGGACAAGACAAUCCUGCAAAAUGGGCCAGUCGGUAUGGUAAUGCUUGGCGAACUACGGGAGACAUAAAAGACAUCUGGGAAAGUAUCACAUCAAUUGCAGAUGAAAACAACAUUUGGGGAAGAUAUGCAGGACCCGGCAGGUGGAAUGAUCCUGACAUGUUGGAAGUGGGAAAUGGAGGGAUGAGUAUUGAGGAGUAUCGAUCUCAUUUUAGUAUUUGGGCUGCAAUGAAAGCUCCUUUACUCAUUGGAUGUGAUAUCCGAUCUGCAACCGCAGAGACUCUUGGGAUUCUUGGAAACAAGGAGGUGAUUGGUGUUAAUCAGGAUCCACUGGGAAUUCAGGCCAGAAAAAUUCGAUCUGAAGCUGGUCUAGAGGUAUAUCCGGAAGGUUUGGGCAGGACCUUUAUCAAGGAGAAGAAUAGUGAUAGUCUUAUGGAAUAGAAGCAGAUUCAGGGCUCCAAUAUCUGUGGGAUGGAGGGACGUUGGACUCUCUCCAUUUAUGUCUGUGACUGUUCGAGACUUAUGGGCGCACUCAUUUGUUUCAAAGAAGAUGCGUUCUCGAUUGACUGCAUAUGUUGCUCCCCAUGCUUGCAAGAUGUACAUUCUCACCCCAAUCUAAAUGGAUGAGAGGCUUGGCACUUUGGUCUAUAUAUAAUAGUCGAGUGAGAGAUGGUGUCCCACUCAGAAGGCAGCUUGAUGAAAUGAAGAUAUUUAAUUAUAUGUAUUUAUGAUAUGCUAAACUGAAAGGACUUUUUGCCACAAGGAUACAGUAUGCUUAUUUACUUGCUA
RNA transcript from Carya illinoinensis, 1694 nucleotides. It is a transcript of the gene named alpha-galactosidase-like, with no coding region annotated. NCBI's taxonomy places the organism in Eukaryota, Viridiplantae, Streptophyta, Magnoliopsida, Fagales, Juglandaceae. The record is from RefSeq and is a predicted model, not a curated record. The transcript is spliced from 13 exons.